This is a long non-coding RNA of Mustela erminea (ermine), 1257 nucleotides long. RefSeq lists it as uncharacterized. The record is from RefSeq and is a predicted model, not a curated record. Lineage: Eukaryota; Metazoa; Chordata; Mammalia; Carnivora; Mustelidae. The transcript is spliced from 3 exons.
GCUGAUUUCUUCUAUAUGGAAACAUCAUUGAAUGGGGGAAUGGGAACAGCAACUCUUCCCAGCCCUUAUUUUCUACCUUUCCCACAGAGACAACUUGCAAUGGUUGUGGUGGCAUUCAGUGGAAACAGAUGUUUCCUCUUUCUCAAAUGAUCUUUUGUAUGUUAAUAUUACUCCCCUGAAAGCCUUCCUUAGGCAUCCCAGAGCAUUUAACAUAUAGCAUUUUAAUAAAACAUUGCAAUUGAGAUCUCCUAUAGGACAGAAGCUCUUUCACUUCAGGUUUAUUUUACUUACUUCUAAAAUGUUAUGAUUAUCUUUUAAAUCUGUUUUCUCAACACUUGUUCCAGAGCUUAGCUCAUCAAAAGUUUUCAGUAAAUAGUUUGUGGAAGUACAAAUAACUCAAUAAGAAUAUGGAGUAUGAGCAUUUUCUAUCCCAGUUCAGAAGAACUCUUGGCACUUGCUCCUCUUUGUACCCUGAUUACAGGGAUUUUUUUUUUUCCCCCUUAUCUGGAACACAGGGAGGAGCAGGGGUGGAGUGGGAACUAGACAUCACUUGUUUGUUACCAACUAUGUGGAACUAAGAUCCAAGAAGUAAUAAAAAGGAAGUUCAUGGAGACAGGUAAUAUAAUUUGUAGUUUUGUGUUCACAGAUGGAACUGUGGGACUCUCCUUUAUGGGACAGGGUCAAAGGUUUGGGGAGAAAGAGCAAAUAAUUCUUUUUCAUUCUCUUCAAAUACAAAUAUAAUUGGGAAAAUAUAAAUCAAUGAGUCAGAUUAAGACCUCUAAGUAAUUUAAACUGCUCUUCUUUGCAGUUUUAUCAGCAUUUCUGAAAAAUCAAGUUUUCAGUCAUGAAGAUUAGAAAGACAAUGGAAUUGAUGGCCCACUAAAAGGAAUUAAUACCAUUUUUAGUGUGAAAAGGUGAUUGGAUCAAACAUUUUAUGUCUUUAAGUCACAGUUUUCUCAUCAAAAAUGAAGAUAAGGACAACUGCUUUCUCCAUCUUCUGAAGACACAUGCAGAGGCUGAGAAGUCCCAAGAUCUGCAGACAGCAAGUGGAAGACCCAGAUAUAGUGGUAUAGAGUACUGGUACAAGACCCAAGAACUGAGUUUUCAUUUUGUAUUUGAAGGCAAAAGAAGACCAAAAUCCCACCUCAAGUAGUCAGAGAGGGUGCUCUUGAGAGCACAGCAAAAAGAAGAGAUCUAAUCAGUUGUUAAGAAACAGCUCUGAGUGGAGAUGUGGAAGAUGAAUGUAAGUUAAUUGAG